Molecule: ribosomal RNA, 460 nt
Filed under: uncultured bacterium
Lineage: Bacteria
Description: partial 16S ribosomal RNA
Rfam family: Bacterial small subunit ribosomal RNA
Source: RNAcentral
CCUACGGGAGGCAGCAGUGAGGAAUAUUGGUCAAUGGGCGCGAGCCUGAACCAGCCAAGUCGCGUGAGUGAAGACGGCCCUACGGGUUGUAAACCCCUUUUGCCGGGGAGCAACGGGCGUCACGUGUGGCGCCACUGAGAGUACCCGGAGAAAAAGCAUGGGCUAACCCGGUGCCAGCAGCCGCGGUAAGACGCGGGAUGCGAGCGUUAUCCGGAUUGAUUGGGUUUAAAGGGGGCGUAGGCGGUUCGUUAAGUCAGUGGGAAAAUUGAGGGGUUAAACCCCUUCCCGCCAUUGAAACUGGCGCUCUUGAGUGUAAGAGAGGUAUGCGGAAUGCGUGGUGUAGCGGUGAAAUGCAUAGAUAUCACGCAGAACCCCGAUUGCGAAGGCAGCAUGCCGGCUUCCGACUGACGCUGAAGCACGAAAGCGUGGGGAUCGAACAGGAUUAGAUACCCGUGUAGUC